UGAUCCCGCCGGACCUCACUGCUAUCGAGGUGGGACUAAGCCAUGCUAGUCGUACGCCCAGAACCAUGUCUGGGAGUGGCGUACUGCUCAGUAACACGUAGCUAACCUGCCCUUAGGACGGGUAUAACCCCGAGAAAUUGGGGCUAAUGCCCGAUAGGUGUGAUGUCCUGGAAUGGUAUCACGCCCAAAGGUCCCAGCAGCAUGUUGUUGUUACGCCUAAGGAUGGGGCUGCGGCCGAUCAGGCAGUUGGUGAGGUAAUGGCUCACCAAACCUUUGACCGGUACGGGCCAUGAGAGUGGUAGCCCGGAGAUGGAUACUGAGACAAGGAUCCAGGCCCUACGGGGCGCAGCAGGCGCGAAACCUCCUCAAUGCACUCACGUGCGAAGGGGUUACCUCGAGUGCCAUCUGAAGAAGGUGGCCUUUCCUUGGUCUAAAUAGCCUUGGGAAUAAGAGGGGGGCAAGACUGGUGUCAGCCGCCGCGGUAACACCAGCCCCUCGAGUGGUGGGGAUGAUUAUUUGGCCUAAAGCGUCCGUAGCCGGCCGAGUAAGUUUCCCGUUAAAUCCAGCGUCUCAAGCGUUGGACUGCGGGAAAUACUGCCCGGCUAGAGAGUGGGAGAGGUAAGCGGUAUUCUGGGGGUAGGGGCGAAAUCCUUUGAUCCCCGGAGGACCCAGUGGCGAAGGCUGCUUACUAGAACACGUCUGACGGUCAGGGACGAAAGCUGGGGUAGCGAACCGGAUUAGAUACCCGGGUAGUCCCAGCUGUAAACGAUGCACGCUAGGUGUUGGGUCGGCCACGCGCCGCCCCAGUGCCGCAGGGAAGCCGUUAAGCGUGCCGCCUGGGGAGUACGGCCGCAAGGCUGAAACUUAAAGGAAUUGGCGGGGGAGCACCACCAGGCGUG
Molecule: ribosomal RNA, 899 nt
Filed under: uncultured archaeon
Lineage: Archaea
Description: bacterial SSU rRNA
Rfam family: Archaeal small subunit ribosomal RNA
Source: RNAcentral